CCUCAUCAAAUUAGUCACGACGCGAACUUGCUGCGCGGGGAAUUAUUCUACGGUUGACAAUCGUGGCGUUGAGAUGUGUCAUCUCGUCCAACGUUUAUUAAUUGCGUAAUACUUUCAUCGCCAUCUUUUCAUCAUUUAUAUUCACACUACUGUCAACUUUAUUUGACUAAUAUUCUUGGUUGAUUGUGAAACGUCGAAGCAUUAAGGGGACGCCAUGAAUAUCAAAAGGACAUCAGAAUGAUUAACGAUAAAUGCGACAACUUUUUGUGGAGAUAUGGUGAAAUUUCAUUUAUUUUAAUGAAGACAGACAUACUUGUUUUUGCAACUUCAAUUUUUUUCUGUUCCAUGGGAAGAACUCUAUAGUG
This is a long non-coding RNA of Frieseomelitta varia, 365 nucleotides long. RefSeq lists it as uncharacterized. The record is from RefSeq and is a predicted model, not a curated record. The transcript has 3 exons. Lineage: Eukaryota; Metazoa; Arthropoda; Insecta; Hymenoptera; Apidae.